This 468-nucleotide ribosomal RNA is filed under the name uncultured bacterium. Its description in RNAcentral is "partial 16S ribosomal RNA". It matches the Rfam family "Bacterial small subunit ribosomal RNA", at positions 28 to 507 of the family's 1533-position model. The record is from RNAcentral.
GACGAACGCUGGCGGCGUGCUUAACACAUGCAAGUCGAACGGAAAGGCCCUGCUUUUGUGGGGUUCUCGAGUGGCGAACGGGUGAGUAACACGUGAGUAACCUGCCCUUGACUUUGGGAUAACUUCAGGAACCUGGGGCUAAUACCGGAUAGGAGCUUCUGCUGCAUGGUGGGGGUUGGAAAGUUUCGGCGGUUGGGGAUGGACUCGCGGCUUAUCAGCUUGGUGGUGGGGUAGUGGCUUACCACGGCUUUGACGGGUAGCCGGCCUGAGAGGGGGACCGGCCACAUUGGGACUGAGAUACGGCCCAGACUCCUAAGGUAGGCAGCAGGGGGGAAUAUUGCACAAUGGGCGGAAGCCUGAUGCAGAAGCGCCGGGUGCGGGAUGACGGCCUUCGGGUUGUAAACCGCUUUCGCCUGUGACGAAGCGUGUGUGACGGUAAUGGAUAAAGAAGCACCGGCUAACUACGUG